Molecule: long non-coding RNA, 464 nt
Organism: Xiphophorus couchianus (Monterrey platyfish)
Lineage: Eukaryota; Metazoa; Chordata; Actinopteri; Cyprinodontiformes; Poeciliidae
Exons: 3
Source: RefSeq, a predicted model, not a curated record
AGAACGUCACCUGUCUGUUAUCCACCUGCUUAAGUACUGGUGAAGGGGGUCAUCAGCUAUCAAGUUCUAGAUUUCAGCGGCUAAUAGAGGACACUGCUGAAGUCAGACGAGAGUGAAUCCUCAAAGGUCUGUGUGUGUACCUAAAUGAAGAUCCAGAGAAGCUGGUGAAAGAGUACAUGGACGUUGAUGGAGGUGCAGAAAUAGCCAUAGCCGAGACUUUCCUCGGAAUCUUUGUCAUUCGACCAGAGGGUGCGGAGGCUGCCGAUGCUCAUCUGGAUGUUGGGAUUGUCCUGGAGGGGGUGGAGGUUAUGAACAGCUUGGGGAGUGUAUUGUUUGCAAUAGUGAUGCUGCUGGGGCUAAUCUACGCACUAAACUUGAGCUACCCUCAAGAGCUCAAGCAUACCACCAGGCACCGGAACAGCUUCUUUCCCACAGCUGUCACGCUUUUGAACGCCUCCUGACAU